RNAcentral lists this long non-coding RNA (515 nucleotides) under Capsicum annuum. RNAcentral describes it as "long non-coding RNA (CANN_LNC004701)". Lineage: Eukaryota; Viridiplantae; Streptophyta; Magnoliopsida; Solanales; Solanaceae. The record is from RNAcentral.
UUACAUCGUCACAUCUUCUUUAUAAAAGAGAAACUUUAUAAAAUUUAAUAGGUCUUCUUUUCCAAUUAUUCUUUGAAUAUGGGGUCAAAUUUCAUUCAUAGUUUUAUUCCCUUUCCUUUGUCUUUUGCUAACAUGGUAGAUUCUACCAAUUAUUGUUUGAAUUUUUGCAGGUAUUCAUCAAUAUCAAUUUUAGCAUUUUUCUGAGUACUUUGUGAUUCUUCUGCUAAACAAUCUUCUUCAUUAUCCUUAGUAUGACCAGCAGAUGUCAUAGAAAUGUCUGAUGCAUUUUUCAUGUCAAGAUUGCUCAUUAAAUCUUUCUUUAUUUUUUUCAUGUGUGAGACUAUUAUUUCUGACCUGGAUAUUACUGUUUUUUUUAUUUGGAGUCUUCUUGAAAUACUUUUGAAAAGAUUAGUUUCAUUCUUUUGUUAUAUUGAUGCCAUAUUUAUUAGUUCUUUGUAUUUGGCAAUGGCCAUAUUGAUAGAUACAAUUAUCACUUGUCCAAGGAUAUUAUCUUC